This 430-nucleotide ribosomal RNA is filed under the name uncultured bacterium. RNAcentral describes it as "bacterial SSU rRNA". It matches the Rfam family "Bacterial small subunit ribosomal RNA", at positions 355 to 776 of the family's 1533-position model. The record is from RNAcentral.
UCGAGAGGCUUCGGCAAUGGGGGAAACCCUGACCGAGCGACGCCGCGUGGAGGAUGAAGGCCCUUGGGUUGUAAACUCCUUUUGUCAGCGAAGAAGUGCGAUCAGGUGAACAAUCUGGUCGUUUGACGGUACCUGACGAAUAAGCUCCGGCUAACUCCGUGCCAGCAGCCGCGGUAACACGGGGGGAGCAAGCGUUGUUCGGAAUCACUGGGCGUAAAGGGCGUCUAGGCGGUCAGGUAAGUGGGACGUGAAAUACCUCGGCUCACCCGAGGGACUGCGUUCCAAACUGCUUGGCUUGAGUAUGGGAGAGGAUGUGGGAAUUCCUGGUGUAGCGGUGAAAUGCGUAGAUAUCAGGAGGAACACCGGUGGCGAAGGCGCACAUCUGGCCCAAUACUGACGCUGAAGCGCGAAAGCUAGGGGAGCAAACGGG